AAUAAGAUCAUUUUUCAGUUUUUAAUACAAUAUUUUGACUAUUCAUCUUAUUUGAAAUGUUUUUGGGAUUAAUAUUUUUAUUCUUACAGUGAUAAAACAUGAAUAAUACUUUAUGCGUGACUAAUUUUUUAAAGUUUUUGUAUAAUUAUUUUAAAUAAGAUAGAUGGAUAAACGUUAGAUAUGGAAAAACGAAG
RNAcentral lists this microRNA precursor (194 nucleotides) under Oryza brachyantha (malo sina). RNAcentral's name for it is "MIR812 microRNA precursor family". It matches the Rfam family "MIR812 microRNA precursor family". Lineage: Eukaryota; Viridiplantae; Streptophyta; Magnoliopsida; Poales; Poaceae. The record is from Rfam by way of RNAcentral.